RNAcentral lists this ribosomal RNA (431 nucleotides) under uncultured bacterium. RNAcentral describes it as "partial 16S ribosomal RNA". It matches the Rfam family "Bacterial small subunit ribosomal RNA", at positions 29 to 507 of the family's 1533-position model. The record is from RNAcentral.
AACGAACGCUGGCGGCAGGCUUAACACAUGCAAGUCGAGCGCCCCGCAAGGGGUGCGGCCGACGGGUGCGUAACGCGUGGGAACGUACCUUUUGGUUCGGGACAACUCCGGGAAACUGGAGCUAAUACCGGAUAAGCCCUAACGGGGAAAGAUUUAUCGCCGAAAGAUCGGCCCGCGUCUGAUUAGCUAGUUGGUGAGGUAACGGCUGACCAAGGCGACGAUCAGUAGCUGGUCUGAGAGGAUGAUCAGCCACACUGGGACUGAGACACGGCCCAGACUCCUACGGGAAGCAGCAGUGGGGAGUAUUGGACAAUGGGCGCAAGCCUGAUCCAGCCAUGCCGCGUGAGUGAUGAAGGCCUUAGGGUUGUAAAGCUCUUUUGUCCGGGAAGAUAAUGACUGUACCGGAAGAAUAAGCCCCGGCUAACUUCGUG